GCUUACCAGCUAGCCCCACUAACCAAACUCAACAAACACAUAUAAAUAAACCCAAAAGCACUUACGAUUCAACCAAACAAAACAUUUUUCCUCCUUAGUAUGGGAGACAGAAAAGGACAUCAAAGGGCGCAAUAGAAAAAGUACCGCAAGGGGAAAGCUGACAGAGAGAUGAAAUAGACCAGUGAAGCCUAAAAAAGCAGAGAUUACCUCUCGUACCUUUUGCAUC
RNAcentral lists this ribosomal RNA (226 nucleotides) under Atule mate (yellowfin scad). RNAcentral's name for it is "partial 16S ribosomal RNA". The record is from RNAcentral. Lineage: Eukaryota; Metazoa; Chordata; Actinopteri; Carangiformes; Carangidae.